Molecule: small nuclear RNA, 23 nt
Filed under: Arabidopsis thaliana (thale cress)
Lineage: Eukaryota; Viridiplantae; Streptophyta; Magnoliopsida; Brassicales; Brassicaceae
Description: snRNA_02367
Source: RNAcentral
CUUUUGAAGUUUGGAAUGAAGUU